Molecule: ribosomal RNA, 364 nt
Filed under: Fidelibacterota bacterium
Lineage: Bacteria; Pseudomonadati; Fidelibacterota
Description: bacterial LSU rRNA
Rfam family: Bacterial large subunit ribosomal RNA
Source: RNAcentral
GGGGCUGGAGCAGGUCCCAAGGGUAUGGCUGUUCGCCAUUUAAAGUGGUACGUGAGCUGGGUUUAGAACGUCGUGAGACAGUUCGGUCCCUAUCUGCCGUGGGUGUAGGAAACUUGAGAGGAUUUGUCCCUAGUACGAGAGGACCGGGAUGAACGUACCUAUGGUGUACCAGUUGUUUCGCCAGAAGCAUCGCUGGGUAGCUAUGUACGGACGGGAUAACCGCUGAAUGCAUCUAAGCGGGAAACCCACCUCAAAACUAGGUUUCCCUUGAGAACCGUGGAAGACCACCACGUUGAUAGGCCAGGUGUGGAAGCGCAGUGAUGUGUGAAGCUAACUGGUACUAAUUGUUCGAUCGGCUUGAGAG